This 744-nucleotide ribosomal RNA is filed under the name uncultured Oxalobacteraceae bacterium. RNAcentral's name for it is "bacterial SSU rRNA". It matches the Rfam family "Bacterial small subunit ribosomal RNA", at positions 8 to 747 of the family's 1533-position model. The record is from RNAcentral. Lineage: Bacteria; Pseudomonadati; Pseudomonadota; Betaproteobacteria; Burkholderiales; Oxalobacteraceae.
AGAGUUUGAUCAUGGCUCAGAUUGAACGCUGGCGGCAUGCCUUACACAUGCAAGUCGAACGGCAGCGCGGACUUCGGUCUGGCGGCGAGUGGCGAACGGGUGAGUAAUAUAUCGGAACGUGCCCUGGAGUGGGGGAUAACGUAGCGAAAGUUACGCUAAUACCGCAUACGAUCUACGGAUGAAAGUGGGGGAUCGCAAGACCUCAUGCUCGUGGAGCGGCCGAUAUCUGAUUAGCUAGUUGGUGGGGUAAGAGCCCACCAAGGCGACGAUCAGUAGCUGGUCUGAGAGGACGACCAGCCACACUGGGACUGAGACACGGCCCAGACUCCUACGGGAGGCAGCAGUGGGGAAUUUUGGACAAUGGGGGCAACCCUGAUCCAGCAAUGCCGCGUGAGUGAAGAAGGCCUUCGGGUUGUAAAGCUCUUUUGUCAGGGAAGAAACGGUUUUGGCUAAUAUCCGAAACUAAUGACGGUACCUGAAGAAUAAGCACCGGCUAACUACGUGCCAGCAGCCGCGGUAAUACGUAGGGUGCGAGCGUUACUCGGAAUUACUGGGCGUAAAGCGUGCGUAGGCGGUUUGUUAAGUCUGUCGUGAAAGCCCCGGGCUCAACCUGGGAACUGCAUCCAAAACUGGCGAGCUAGAGUAUGGCAGAGGGUGGUGGAAUUUCCUGUGUAGCGGUGAAAUGCGUAGAUAUAGGAAGGAACACCAGUGGCGAAGGCGACCACCUGGGCUAAUACUGACACU